GCUCGUGUGGCGUAAUGGCAACGCGUCUGACUUCUAAUCAGAAGAUUNACCCCCGCCAUGAGCU
Molecule: transfer RNA, 64 nt
Filed under: Zygosaccharomyces bailii CLIB 213
Lineage: Eukaryota; Fungi; Ascomycota; Saccharomycetes; Saccharomycetales; Saccharomycetaceae
Description: tRNA-Arg (TCT) (tRNA-Arg-TCT-1-1)
Rfam family: tRNA
About the family: Transfer RNA (tRNA) molecules are approximately 80 nucleotides in length. Their secondary structure includes four short double-helical elements and three loops (D, anti-codon, and T loops). Further hydrogen bonds mediate the characteristic L-shaped molecular structure. tRNAs have two regions of fundamental functional importance: the anti-codon, which is responsible for specific mRNA codon recognition, and the 3' end, to which the tRNAs corresponding amino acid is attached (by aminoacyl-tRNA synthetases). tRNAs cope with the degeneracy of the genetic code in two manners: having more than one tRNA (with a specific anti-codon) for a particular amino acid; and 'wobble' base-pairing, i.e. permitting non-standard base-pairing at the 3rd anti-codon position.
Source: RNAcentral